This is a long non-coding RNA of Oryza sativa Japonica Group (Japanese rice), 921 nucleotides long. RefSeq lists it as uncharacterized. The record is from RefSeq and is a predicted model, not a curated record. Lineage: Eukaryota; Viridiplantae; Streptophyta; Magnoliopsida; Poales; Poaceae.
UCCCCCCCCCCCAUCAACGCCGCCGUCUUCCUCCCUGCGUGCUUGCCGCCGUCGCGCGCUCGCCUCCAGCACGGCUGCUCGGCAAAACCGCGGCAGUGGCGGCGCCUAUGGCGUGCGGUGGCUCGGUUGCGCAGGAGAAAAAAAAAAGAGAAGGGAGAAAAAAAAGGAAAAAGGGAGAAAGAAUUACAUGUCAUUAUGUCAUUGUCCACGUGUCAUGUCACGUAGGCAAGACCACGGUAAAACGCGGGUUUACACCGGGAUGAUACAAUAAACCAAGUUUAGAGACCUCGAUAUGCGUUUUGCAAGUUCGUGGACCUAAGUGAAACCUCCUGACAAGUUUAAGGACCGCUGGCGUAUUCUACUCUCUCAAAUAAUACAUCAAAUCUAUAAGGGCAUUCACCUUCCAUGAAAAUCUCCUCCAUUUGCAAGAUUCGCUCAAGAAGCAUCGACAACGGCUGCUGCUCCCCGCCGCCACGCCUCCUGCUCGCUGCCAAUGCUUGGUCGGGUCGCGGUCGCCUGGUCAAGUUGCCGACAUUGGCUGCUGCUCGCUGCCACCACACCCUCCUUGUCGCCGUGUCUUGGUUGGGUGACGGUUGCCUGGUCGGGUCGGCGACGAUGACUGUUGCUCCUCGCCACCUUGCCCGCUCCCACGCCAUCAUGCCAUCCUGCUCGCCGUCGCGGCUUGGUUGGUUCGCGGCCACCUAAUUCGGUCAUCGAUGAUGGCUGCUGCUUCCUGCCGCCUGGACGGCCCACCGACACCGACUGUGCAUGGCCGAGUCUUCGCUGCCGCCGUUGUUGCCGCUGAACUGUAGGGUUUGCGAUGUGGAUUGGGGAGAGGAGUCAGCGGUAGAAGAAAGGGCCUCCUGACAUUUGCAAAAUAACCAGAGCCAGAAAGGUCAAUUGUAUUCUGUAAAAUCAUUA